UAAUGAGAACAUCUCUUGCAGCAUAGGUUCACUAAGUCCAUUCUGUGCAGUGGUGGUUCUCCUUUGGACUUGGAAGAGAGCCUCUCUAGUAUAAUGAGAACAUCUCUUGCAGCAUAGGUUCACUAAGUCCAUUCUGUGCAGUGGUGGUUCUCCUUUGGACUUGGAAGAGAGCCUCUCUAGUAUAAUGAGAACAUCUCUUGCAGCAUAGGUUCACUAAGUCCAUUCUGUGCAGUGGUGGUUCUCCUUUGGACUUGGAAGAGAGCCUCUCUAGUAUAAUGAGAACAUCUCUUGCAGCAUAGGUUCACUAAGUCCAUUCUGUGCAGUGGUGGUUCUCCUUUGGACUUGGAAGAGAGCCUCUCUAGUAUAAUGAGAACAUCUCUUGCAGCAUAGGUUCACUAAGUCCAUUCUGUGCAGUGGUGGUUCUCCUUUGGACUUGGAAGAGAGCCUCUCUAGUAUAAUGAGAACAUCUCUUGCAGCAUAGGUUCACUAAGUCCAUUCUGUGCAGUGGUGGUUCUCCUUUGGACUUGGAAGAGAGCCUCUCUAG
This is a long non-coding RNA of Protopterus annectens (West African lungfish), 544 nucleotides long. RefSeq lists it as uncharacterized. The transcript is spliced from 6 exons. The record is from RefSeq and is a predicted model, not a curated record. Lineage: Eukaryota; Metazoa; Chordata; Ceratodontiformes; Protopteridae.